UGACGUCUCCUUGCUGCCUCCUUGCUGCCUCCUUGCUCUCCAGCUCUUUUCUCCCCCCACUCCUGUCCAUUUUUAAGCAAUUGUUUUCUCCAUCCCGUCUCGCUCUCCACCUCCUCCCUCAUCGCCUCCUAUGCACAGAAGCCCAAUUGGAAGCACAUGGUUUUUAUCUACUGUGUAAAUGGGGAUGUUUGUUUAGGGCCCUAGAGCAAGGAGUGUCUGCUUGUCUCUUGUCUCUAGGGAUCCCAGGCUCUGAGCUUCCCCUUGGCUCAGGGUGAUUAACCAGAAGAGCCAGGCUGUUGCUGGGUCAGGUCAAAGGGGACCCACCCUGUUUUCACAGAUGACCCAGCCGGAAGCUGACAGAUGACCCAGGUCAAGCAGAUGACCCAGCCGGAAGCUCACAAGCGGGGCAGCCCUUCCUCCCACAGGAGCCAGGGCAGAAGCGAUAGAACAAUUAAACCAUCGGAAAACAUGAUCAUUUGGAGAUAUAAAGAGUGAGACAAUCUUUGAGAUUCCAAAGAACAGCCAUGGAUUCUGCAGCAGUGAAGACAUCGUCUGGGAAUUCCAUUGAUAUUGUGAGAGAGUCCAUUUGAAGCUUGUUUGCUGAAUUACCUUUGAAAUCUCACCUUCCCUGAAACAAAUCAAAGGUGAUCCUGCAUUGUGUGGCAUCGGAAACCUGUGAUAUCAUCAUCGCACAUGCCAAUGAACAAUUUGUAUUCACCAGUCAUCUUUCAAGUUCAUCACUGAUACAGGGGACUUUGAUUCCAACACACAGCCAAAGAUUUCCACAGCAGGCAUUUAAUGCUGGAGAAAGAUUGGUUGAAGACAGAGCUCUUCAUCCUACACCAGACGACAGAAUUGUACAAAUGCAGGGAUGUUUCCAUGCUCCUAUACCUUCUUUUGGAGAACAAUCUGGAGCCAGCAUUGGAGCAAAUGUUACUCAGAAUCCUCAUGACUAUACCUAUGACAACAGCAGAAGCAGAAGAGGAUGAAGCUCUGAAGAGGAUGAAGCUCUGAAGAGGAUGAAGCUCUGAAGAGGAUGAAGACAUUCCCGAGGAACGCUGUUUCAGAUGACAGCCUUGGUAAUGCUGUCAGUUGAGAGAUGACUGAGCAAACUUUGUAUACAAUAUGACAUUGUGAGAAAUCUUCUGAAGAAUUGGAGGAAAGGGGUGGCUUUAAGGGGAGGUGGAGGCCACACACAGUUUCUCCCAGCAGAGAAGCAGCUGUGGCAGCAGGGACCCCUUCUGAACCAAGGCAAGACUCUUUAAGUAACCUUGAAAAGAAAUGCUAAACAAUUGUACUAUUGCACUACUUAAGUGUCUACUGUUUCUUGAGAAGGGAGAAGGAGGAUAGAGAGAGAACCAGAAGAGGGAGAAGCCACACACACUUUCUCCUCAAAUAUCUCCUCAAAAAAUGUUAAUAAAAAUAACCAGGAUUAAAUUAACAUUA
This is a long non-coding RNA of Rhineura floridana, 1446 nucleotides long. RefSeq lists it as uncharacterized. Lineage: Eukaryota; Metazoa; Chordata; Lepidosauria; Squamata; Rhineuridae. The transcript is spliced from 3 exons. The record is from RefSeq and is a predicted model, not a curated record.